This 236-nucleotide ribosomal RNA is filed under the name Salmonella enterica subsp. enterica serovar Norwich. RNAcentral describes it as "partial 23S ribosomal RNA". It matches the Rfam family "Bacterial large subunit ribosomal RNA", at positions 560 to 796 of the family's 2925-position model. Lineage: Bacteria; Pseudomonadati; Pseudomonadota; Gammaproteobacteria; Enterobacterales; Enterobacteriaceae. The record is from RNAcentral.
GUACGUACAAGCAGUGGGAGCACAGGUUUACCUGUGUGACUGCGUACCUUUUGUAUAAUGGGUCAGCGACUUAUAUUCUGUAGCAAGGUUAACCGAAUAGGGGAGCCGGAGGGAAACCGAGUCUUAAUUGGGCGUUAAGUUGCAGGGUAUAGACCCGAAACCCGGUGAUCUAGCCAUGGGCAGGUUGAAGGUUGGGUAACACUAACUGGAGGACCGAACCGACUAAUGUUGAAAAA